CAAUAGCGUAUAUUAAAGUUGUUGCAGUUAAAAAGCUCGUAGUUGGAUUUCUGGCAGGAGCGACCGGUCACACACUCUGUGUGUGAACUUGUGUUGUCUCUGGCCAUCCUUGGGGAGAUCCUGUUUGGCAUUAAGUUGUCGGGCAGGGGACAUCCAUCGUUUACUGUGAAAAAAUUAGAGUGUUUAAAGCAGGCUUAUGCCGUUGAAUAUAUUAGCAUGGAAUAAUAAGAUAGGACUUCGGAACUAUUUUGUUGGUUUGCGUUACGAAGUAAUGAUUAAUAGGGACAGUUGGGGGUAUUCGUAUUUCGUUGUCAGAGGUGAAAUUCUUGGAUUUCCGAAAGACGAACUACUGCGAAAGCAUUUACCAAGGAUGUUUUCAUUAG
Molecule: ribosomal RNA, 383 nt
Filed under: uncultured eukaryote
Lineage: Eukaryota
Description: partial 18S ribosomal RNA
Rfam family: Eukaryotic small subunit ribosomal RNA
Source: RNAcentral